This 384-nucleotide ribosomal RNA is filed under the name uncultured archaeon. RNAcentral describes it as "bacterial SSU rRNA". It matches the Rfam family "Archaeal small subunit ribosomal RNA", at positions 402 to 785 of the family's 1478-position model. The record is from RNAcentral.
CCUCGCUUUUGUGUACCGUAAGGUGGUACACGAAYAAGRGCUGGGCAAGACCGGUGCCAGCCGCCGCGGUAAUACCGGCAGCCCAAGUGAUGGCCGAUAUUAUUGGGCCUAAAGCGUUCGUAGCUGGCCAGACAAGUCCGUUGGGAAAUCCGCAUGCUUAACGUGCGGGCGUCCAGCGGAAACUGUCCGGCUUGGGACCGGAAGACCCGAGGGGUACGUCCAGGGUAGGAGUGAAAUCCUGUAAUCUUGGACGGACCACCUGUGGCGAAAGCGCCUCGGGAAGACGGAUCCGACAGUGAGGAACGAAAGCCAGGGUCUCGAACCGGAUUAGAUACCCGGGUAGUCCUGGCUGUAAACGAUGUCCGCUAGGUGUGACGCAGGCUA